Long non-coding RNA from Dicentrarchus labrax (European seabass), 341 nucleotides. RefSeq lists it as uncharacterized. Lineage: Eukaryota; Metazoa; Chordata; Actinopteri; Moronidae. The record is from RefSeq and is a predicted model, not a curated record. The transcript has 2 exons.
UUACUCUCAGAGAGGACUUUUAUAGGAUUUAAACUUUAUUAUUAUUAUUAUUGUAUUUGUCUCGACUGUGUUCACGUUGUUCCGUCGGGCUGUGAACCGUCAGUGAGGGUCCCGGUGCGGAGAAAGAGCUCCGUACCUCCGACUGUAGUUCAGUAUCGCUUCUCGGCCUUUUGGCUAAGAUCAAGUGUAGUAUCUGUUCUUAUCAGUUUAAUAUCUGAUACGUCCCCUACCCGGGGACCAUAUAUUAAAUUGAUUUUUGGAACUGGGAGAUGGAAUAGGGGCUUGCUCCGUCCACUCCACGCAUCGACCUGGUAUUGCAGUACUUCCAGGACCGGUGCACC